AUGACAUCUCGGUGACAGGGGGAACUGUGGACGGGACCCCAGGAAGCCAACCCCUGCCCUGCUCAGGCGGGGAGCCACAGGAGUCCCGGAAUCCCUGGUCCUCAUUCCCAUACAGGAGUGAGGGGUGGCGGCAGCCCGGGCAUCUCAGAGGGUCAGCCCAUCCUCGCCUGGCUUUCCCCAGAGGCCCUGGUGCUGCCACCUGAACCCCAGGGAAUGGAGGGGAAUGGGCUGGGGGAGGCGCCGGGGAAGGCCCUAGAAGGAAAAGAUGCUGCCACCCUUCACCCCCUUAGGGGGCCAGACAGGGAGGGUGGUUGUGUUCUUGGUCAAAGCCCUGGUCAGGCCCCUUCUAAGCCCUCAGGCCCCUGGGGUCGGGGCCUGCUCCUGCUGUGCCUGCUGCUCCCCGCCCGCUCUGGGGGCGUCCUCUGGCGCUGGGCACUUGGACGUUAGGAGUGGGGAGGCCAGUGGGAAGGCCACUCGGCCCUGUCCCUGCCCUGCAGUCUUGCUCUGGCGCCAUUGCAGCCACCCUCCCUCCAGCCCCUGUGUCUGCCCUCCCGGUGCCACUGAACACUGCCUCCAGCAGCCCCUGUGCACCCAGAGGAGCCUGGAAAUGGAGAUCUUCUUGAGCCCAGGGCAGCUCUCAGGCUGGGGUGGAGAGAGCAGGUGGAGGAGGGGCUUGCGAGGAGGCUGCACUUGGGCAAACUGGCACCACUCUCCCUGGGGAGGCCACUGUGAAGUCUCCAUCUCUUUGUCUUUUCAGGAACCAGCGUUUGUAGGUGGUGACCCACCCCUUGUCUGGCCUUGUCAGGAGACUCCAAUCCCUGCCCAGGGGCCACCCCUGGCCCCAGAGCUGCCUGGGGAGCAGCUGGGUGAAGGGCCUGGCCCAGGAGGAGAGAAAGGACUUUCCCGGCAGAGGCUCGCCCCCCCCCCAGCCCAGGAUCCCGCUGGAGAACCUCUUCUGGAUGGGCUUGGAUUGGUCCUGGAGGCCCCAGGUGUGGGGUUCCCUGGUGCACCAGGAAGGCCAGGCGUGGCCCCGAGGGGAGCCAGGAAGGACCCAGGUCCCACAGCGGCUCUGCCACUGGUUGCUCUAGGCCCCAGCCUCCAAAUUCCUGGGACUGAAAACCCAAGCAGUCUGGCCAGGCCCGGGGACAGAGUGGCCCAGUGUCACACCUCCUGCCCUCCUCAGCUACGAAGCUGGAGGCCAGGUCCUGAGUGAAGAGCUCUGCCCACCUCAGCCCGGGGACUGAGGCCAGAUGAGGCCACCAUGUGUCCCCUGCAGCUUCCCACAGACAGGGUGUGAUGGCUCCCUUCCUUGUGCCAAGUGUCCUCGUGGCGCUUCCUGUGCCCCAUCCCUUUCCACCCUGGACCACUUCUGGGAGCCUGCCAGCCCGCCCACUCCAUCCGCAGAUGUCUGGGGACAGCGCGUGAGAAGAGAGGACAAGGGGCCUCCUUAGCUGAUGCACAGAUGUGCCCCUUGCAAGGCCCCGCCUCACCCUCGGGGUGACCUGCUCCCCAGCUGCGGCUUUGUUGCUCUGCUGGAGCCCCCUGGGGCCUGUGACUCCUUUUCCCCAUGGGGGGGGGAGCCUCAAGGCCCUGGCCUCAGAGCCCUUCCUU
Ursus maritimus (polar bear) is the source of this 1611-nucleotide long non-coding RNA. NCBI's taxonomy places the organism in Eukaryota, Metazoa, Chordata, Mammalia, Carnivora, Ursidae. The record is from Ensembl.